GAUGAAGAACGCAGCGAAAUGCGAUACUUGGUGUGAAUUGCAGAAUCCCGUGAACCAUCGAGUCUUUGAACGCAAGUUGCGCCCGAAGCCAUUAGGCCGAGGGCACGCCUGCCUGGGCGUCACACGUCGUUGCCCCCCCAUCUACUCCUUCGGGAUUGCGGGGGGCGGAUGAUGGCCUCCCGUGCGCCUAGUCACGCGGUUGGCAUAGAAGCCAAGUCCUCGGCGACGCACGCCACGACAAUCGGUGGUUGCGAAACCUCGGUUGCCCGUCGUGUGCGGUCGUCGCGCAUCGAGGGCUCGAAAAAAUUGCCGGGCUCCGGCUCGGCUUUCAACGCGACCCCAGGUCAGGCGGGGUUACCCGCUGAAUUUAAGCAUAUCAAUAAGCGGAGGA
RNAcentral lists this unclassified non-coding RNA (391 nucleotides) under soil metagenome. RNAcentral describes it as "partial contains 5.8S ribosomal RNA, internal transcribed spacer 2, and large subunit ribosomal RNA". The stretch from base 1 to 122 matches the Rfam family "5.8S ribosomal RNA", at positions 35 to 154 of the family's 154-position model. The record is from RNAcentral.